UCCGACCUCAGAUCGGACGAGAUUACCCGCUGAAUUUAAGCAUAUAACUAAGCGGAGGAAAAGAAACUAACAAGGAUUUCCCCAGUAACGGCGAGUGAAGCGGAAAGAGCCCAGCACCGAAUCCCUCAGUGUCAUGCUGACGGGAACUGUGGUGUGUGGGACGCCACCAGUCGCAUCAGUGGACGCCGAAGUCCUCCUGAUCGAGGCUUCACCCAGAGCGGGUGUAAGGCCUUUGCAGGUGCCUCACUGUGCGGCCGCGAGCGUCNCNGGAGUCGGGUUGUUUGGGAAUGCAGCCCAAAGCGGG
Molecule: ribosomal RNA, 304 nt
Filed under: Onchidella floridana
Lineage: Eukaryota; Metazoa; Mollusca; Gastropoda; Systellommatophora; Onchidiidae
Description: partial 28S ribosomal RNA
Rfam family: Eukaryotic large subunit ribosomal RNA
Source: RNAcentral